UACGUAGGGGGCCAGCGUUGUCCGGAUUUAUUGGGCGUAAAGAGCUCGUAGGCGGUCUGUCACGUCGGCUGUGAAAUCCCGAGGCUCAACCUCGGGUCUGCAGUCGAUACGGGCAAACUAGAGUAUUGCAGGGGAGACUGGAAUUCCUGGUGUAGCGGUGAAAUGCGCAGAUAUCAGGAGGAACACCGGUGGCGAAGGCGGGUCUCUGGGCAAUAACUGACGCUGAGGAGCGAAAGCGUGGGGAGCGAACAGG
This 253-nucleotide ribosomal RNA is filed under the name uncultured bacterium. RNAcentral describes it as "partial 16S ribosomal RNA". It matches the Rfam family "Bacterial small subunit ribosomal RNA", at positions 524 to 776 of the family's 1533-position model. The record is from RNAcentral.